GAUGAACGCUGGCGGCGUGCCUAAUACAUGCAAGUCGAGCGAAUGGAUUAAGAGCUUGCUCUUAUGAAGUUAGCGGCGGACGGGUGAGUAACACGUGGGUAACCUGCCCAUAAGACUGGGAUAACUCCGGGAAACCGGGGCUAAUACCGGAUAACAUUUUGAACUGCAUGGUUCGAAAUUGAAAGGCGGCUUCGGCUGUCACUUAUGGAUGGACCCGCGUCGCAUUAGCUAGUUGGUGAGGUAACGGCUCACCAAGGCAACGAUGCGUAGCCGACCUGAGAGGGUGAUCGGCCACACUGGGACUGAGACACGGCCCAGACUCCUACGGGAGGCAGCAGUAGGGAAUCUUCCGCAAUGGACGAAAGUCUGACGGAGCAACGCCGCGUGAGUGAUGAAGGCUUUCGGGUCGUAAACUCUGUUGUUAGGGAAGAACAAGUGCUAGUUGAAU
RNAcentral lists this ribosomal RNA (448 nucleotides) under uncultured bacterium. RNAcentral's name for it is "bacterial SSU rRNA". It matches the Rfam family "Bacterial small subunit ribosomal RNA", at positions 28 to 465 of the family's 1533-position model. The record is from RNAcentral.